Molecule: long non-coding RNA, 1050 nt
Filed under: Bemisia tabaci
Lineage: Eukaryota; Metazoa; Arthropoda; Insecta; Hemiptera; Aleyrodidae
Description: lncRNA ENSASIAIIG006495
Source: RNAcentral
AGGCAUAAUCAUUUUUAAUAUUCUGUUAGAUGGAGUAAAAUGAAAAGAGAGUUUGCAAAGCAAGUGCAUUAAUGCUGUUUAUCUGAGACGCUAAAUGUCUUAAAAUUAAAUUAACUAACUAACUAACUAAAAAUACGAUCAUAGGAGUAUAAAUCCACCAUGCAGGAAUUCCACCGGAAUGAUUUUGAAUUACAGGUCCCAAAAUUUGUUGACUAUGGUUGACCGUAGGUUGCGAAAACCUACAUCUAAAUUCGACUAUGAGUGUUGUCACGUAUAGCGCCACGCUAUUGUUCAUAUCGUAUUUCCAUCUCCCUUACUCCCAUGUCGGUCAAAGUUCGAGCCACGAGGAAGCUUUCACUUACUCGUUGGCGUGAUCAGUCGACCGCAUCUUCUUUUAUAUGUUUUUGAGUCUCUGUGGUAAUUAGGAAGAUGAGGUGAUAAGGCUUUCUGCAUAAGCGAGGCGUCUCAAAGCUCGAGGAGACGCUAAGUCGGAUUUUAGACUUCUAUCUAGCACUACCAGCCUUUUGUGUUCCUGAGGAGACUCUGUAACGAUUCCAAGUCUUGAAAAAAACUUAAGUCAAAAGUUCCCUUCAAUUCCUGUUCUCCCACUUUAACGGCUAUUUUGACCCAUCGUUUGCGAUAAGUGUGACUUCCUACCAAAAACUCCAUGCUUCAACCUUCUGUUGUAACACGGUAACGGAGCACAUAUCGUGACAUCGAAACCCGUGACCAUAUCGUGACAUGAUGCCGAAACCCCUCUUUCCAACUUUAGUGCAUCGGUUUAAAUUUCGUGCUUUCUUCAAUUUGCAGUGAUUCUUUUUCAGUGUCAAGUGUUAUCAAACAGUUAUGACAUUACGACCGCAACUUAUGGUCGAUCAUGACUUUGCCAACAAAAUUCGGGCCAAGAACUUCACCAACAUCUCCAUUCAAUCUUGGGAUCUGCAAUAACUAUUUCUUGAGCGUGAGGAAUUCAGGAGGCUUAUCCAGGGUUGCACGGGGAUGAAAUCGAAGGCAAUUUUAGUUUUGGAAAAAAGCCUCCUCGCAUGCAGC